RNAcentral lists this ribosomal RNA (488 nucleotides) under uncultured bacterium. RNAcentral describes it as "bacterial SSU rRNA". It matches the Rfam family "Bacterial small subunit ribosomal RNA", at positions 15 to 518 of the family's 1533-position model. The record is from RNAcentral.
GAUUCUGGCUCAGGAUGAACGCUGGCGGCGUGCUUAACACAUGCAAGUCGAACGGAGUUUAGAGAGCUUGCUCUUAAACUUAGUGGCGGACGGGUGAGUAACGCGUGGGUAACCUGCCUUUCACUGGGGGAUAACAGUUAGAAAUGACUGCUAAUACCGCAUAAGCGCACGGGACGGCAUCGUCCAGUGCGAAAAACUCCGGUGGUGAAAGAUGGACCCGCGUCUGAUUAGCCAGUUGGCAGGGUAACGGCCUACCAAAGCGACGAUCAGUAGCCGGCCUGAGAGGGUGAACGGCCACAUUGGGACUGAGACACGGCCCAAACUCCUACGGGAGGCAGCAGUGGGGAAUAUUGCACAAUGGGGGAAACCCUGAUGCCAGCGACGCCGCGUGAGUGAAGAAGUAUCUCGGUAUGUAAAGCUCUAUCAGCAGGGAAGAAAAUGACGGUACCUGACUAAGAAGCCCCGGCUAACUACGUGCCAGCCGCGGC